This is a long non-coding RNA of Pollicipes pollicipes, 750 nucleotides long. RefSeq lists it as uncharacterized. The transcript is spliced from 2 exons. The record is from RefSeq and is a predicted model, not a curated record. Lineage: Eukaryota; Metazoa; Arthropoda; Thecostraca; Pollicipedomorpha; Pollicipedidae.
AGCGCGAGCUCGCCGCCCUGCGCGCCGCCGACCGGCGACGCUACAACUUCGACUUUGAGGCGAUGACGCCGCUGGAGGGUCGGUUCGCGUGGCAGCGGAUGGAGGCCGACGCCCUGCCGGCGGAGGGGGCGUGCGGGGCGUCGCGGCGUCUGCAGCUGGACCGCGCCGAUCGCGGGCUGACGACCCCUGACCCGGCCGUUAGGUGCCGCCGACACACAGACUCGACCGUGGUGCGCCGCCUGCUCUCCGCUGUGACGCGGCCACUGAGUCCGUCGCCGAACGGCGGACGUCUGUUGGAGGAGACCGAGGUCGGCAUUUGCAGAGGAGGCUCCGGGCCCGCGGCACGGUGGAGCCCUCAACCGCGACGCGCAUCUGAAGCGGGACAGAGCGUCCCGGAUGCAGUUGCAGCACGUGCGUCACUGCGUCAGAGCAGCAUCUCAGAUUUUACUGUAAGCAGGAAACGGCCUUCGUCUUCUGCGACCUGCUUCGAACGUCCCGGAAAGCUGCAGCACGUAGACUUCGCACCGCGCCUGAAGUCUUCUCUGCAUGUGGACUUCCAACCGCACGUGGAUUCUCCGCGGCAUUUGGAUGCAUCACCGCACAUAGAGUCCCCACUGCACGUGGACUCUCCGUCCCACGUAGAUGUUCCGCGGCGGCCGUCCCUUCCACCAGAUCGGGACACUGUGCUAUCUAGCUGAACCGCCGAUGCUCUGUGCCAUUUAGUGCUGAUCUCAAUACAACAAAACUUGA